GGGGAUUUAGCUCAGUGGCAUAAGCACCUGCCUUGCAAGCAGGCAGUCGGGCGUUCGAUCCCUG
Molecule: transfer RNA, 64 nt
Filed under: Cavia porcellus (domestic guinea pig)
Lineage: Eukaryota; Metazoa; Chordata; Mammalia; Rodentia; Caviidae
Rfam family: tRNA
About the family: Transfer RNA (tRNA) molecules are approximately 80 nucleotides in length. Their secondary structure includes four short double-helical elements and three loops (D, anti-codon, and T loops).
Source: Rfam by way of RNAcentral